RNAcentral lists this long non-coding RNA (3089 nucleotides) under Populus tremula. RNAcentral's name for it is "long non-coding RNA (PTRE_LNC000642)". Lineage: Eukaryota; Viridiplantae; Streptophyta; Magnoliopsida; Malpighiales; Salicaceae. The record is from RNAcentral.
GAUUUGGGAGCAAAUGAAGGAGAAGAAUGUUGAACCAGAUGUACGAAGUUAUAAUGCGAAGUUGCUUGGAUUGACAUUGGAGAAGAGAAUGGAAGAUGCGGUUAAGGUUGUUGAAGAAAUGAAGAGUGAGGGGAUUCAACUUGAUACCUUUAGUUACAGCACUUUGAUAAGAGGGUUUGUUAAUGAGGGGGAUUUGAAGAAAGCUAAGCAUUGGUAUCAUGAGAUAGGGAGAAGUGGUUGUAAACGGGAUAAAUUGACUUUGGAGGGCUUGAUUCCUUUUGCCCUUCAGAAGGGUGAUUUUAUGUUUGCUUAUGGUAUUUGCAAGGAUGUUCUCUGUAGCAAGUUGCUUGUUCAAAAUGCUCUGAUACAAAGUGUGGUGGAUGCAUUGGCUAAGGAGUCAAGGAUUGAAGCAGCAAAGGAGCUUGUGAAUCUUGGGGAUGCACAUCAUACCUAUUCGUACAAGUUGAAUUUGCCUUCUAUUUAGCUAUGUAUUGUCCUUUAUGGUUUUGACUUUUUAUCCGGUAAAGCUGCAAAUGUUUAGAAAAUACGUAGUUUACUAAGCAUUUGGAGUUAAAUAAUUCCAAACAUUUUAGCUUGGAGAUGCUUUUCAAUAAGUAGUACUCCAGAAUUUUCUGUUUGUUUGGUUUUGUAUUUUAUGGUCGUGGUAGUUAAUCUAUCUUUUAACCUGUCAAUGACAUUUGCAAGCUCUGAUUUUAUUUUAUAUAAAUUUUAUAUUGUUAGAUUUGCUAGAUUUUGUUUUCAUGUUGUUACGCAUCAUUUCACAGUUGAGUGCCUGUUAUGAAUGCACCAAUGAAGUCCUAAACUAUUUCACAGAUGAAAUUGCUUUGAGAUGCAAUUUCUUGUAUUGUACAGUUCCUCAAUCUGUCUGAAAAUUCAUCUUUCAGCAAUCUUCGCUUUGGAUGGCUGUCGCCUUUGUAUAUGAGCCCCUUAGUACUCAAUCUACAUGAUUGUUUAAUAUUUAGUUAAAUGUUGUUCUUUAUCACUAUGUUUGCCACAGAUCAUGGAGCAGAUUUAGAUUGUUUACUCACUCGCAUUGAGAUAAUAUGAUCAUCUGUGCAUUCUUAGGCAUAUAAUAUGUGUUCCAAAUAUGUUUCAAAUGCAGAUGUUAACUACUAGUUUAACGAAGUUGGAAGCUUGGUAACUUCAAAGAUAUUGUUUAGAACUGAUAAAGGGGGUCCAUAUGAGAAUGUGGUUUUAGUUGGAUUUAUCUGUUUCUCUGGAAAUUCACUGUUCUCAAAUCUGAAGUGUUCCAAUUUGACUAAACCCCGGAGCAAGAAUAUGAUUUUAUGAUUGUUGUUUUAGUUAUCAAACGACAACCAGUAUAUUGAGUAGGUAGAGUUUGUUAUGGCACCCUUGAGAAAUACUCGAGCUAAAAUCAAACAAAAUAAGUCCGAUGGAAAUGUGCAUGGACUGGAGUUUCCUCUUUAUCCUGUUGGCAUGACUUCAUUUCACUUGUUGGAAAUUUCAUUGUAUUACUUCAUCGAUUACAUCUUGAGUUGCUUCUAAUUGCACUGGCUGUUUAUAUUUAUUUAUAAUACAAAGUUAUAUCUUUUUAAUUAUAAAAAUCAUCAUUUUUUCAAUAAAGGUAUAUAAUGAAUUUAUAUACUUUGUAUUUUUAGUUUUAUCCCUAAGUUUAAAAAUUAGUUAGUAGAUGUAAGAUAAAAUUAAUGUAUUUAAUAAUCAUUGUUGUACUUUAAUUAUUUUUUUUGUCAUGGUUUUUGCAAAUUAGAUAUUCAUCAAGAUGAUAUUAUUAUAAAUCUCAAAUUAAUAAUAAAAGAGUAUGCUAGAGAUACUUGAUGUUUAUCAUUGUAUGUGUGUGUGUGUAAUAUAUAUAUUACAAUCCAAAAUAAAAACAAUUCUCUAAGUAAAGAAAUUGAAGUAUAAAUAAUAAUAAAUUGAAAAAUGUAAUAUAUUAAAAUUAUUUGAAAUAGUUUAUAAUUAGAAAAGACAAUAAUAAUAAUAAAAAAAGACAUUAAAAAGGGUGUUUUUAUGAAUAUUAAAAGAGUUAAAGGACAAAGCAUUUAAAAAAGAAAACCACGUGUCGUGUAUUUCUUUUUUGGAGCCCCUUAAAACCCUCUGUAAACCCCCCCGCGAACUCUCCAGCCACAACCCAUAAAAUCGGGAUGUCGUCUGUUCUCCGCCUUCUCCGCCGUGCAUUACCCGCCUCUACCUCUGCCGCGGCUUCCGACACCACCAAAGCCAAAUCUUACUGGACAGAAAUCAUUAAAGAACGCAACCUUGAGCAUCUCGUUGAGAAAUUCAAAAAUGCAUCUGUAGACGAGGAUUUCCGCACAAAAACUUUUGUUUACAAAAACGCCAUUCACCGUCUUGCAGCCGCCCGGGAAUUUAACUACGUAGAAGAGAUUUUAGAGGACCAGAAACAAUAUAAGGAUAUAUAUAAAGAGGGUUUUAACGGUCGUUUGAUUUCUCUGUAUGGUGUAGCGGGCAUGUUCGAUAAUGCACGCAAGGUGUUCGACGAAAUGCUUGAAAGAAAAUGUGCUCGGACGGUCCUGUCUUUUAAUGCGUUGUUGGGGGCUUGUGUUAAUUCGAAGAAGUUUGAUGAAGCAGAAGGGUUGUUUAAAGGGCUAUCCAAGGAGUUAGAGAUUGAACCAGAUUUGGUUUCGUAUAAUACAGUCCUUAAGGCUUUUUGCGUGAUGGGCUCCAUGGAUUCGGCUGCUUCAUUGCUAGAUGAGAUGGAGAAGAAAGGCUUGGAGCCUGAUUUGAUUACUUUUAAUACGCUUUUACAUGGGUUUUAUGCGAAAGGAAGGUUUGUUGACGGGGAGCGGAUUUGGGAGCAAAUGAAGGAGAAGAAUGUUGAACCAGAUAAACGGAGUUAUAACUUGAAAUUGCUUGGAUUGACAUUGGAGAAUAGAAUGGAAGAUGCGGUUAAGGUUGUUGAAGAAAUGAAGAGUGAGGGGAUUCAACUUGAUACCUUUAGUUACAGCACUUUGAUUAGAGGGUUUGUUAAUGAGGGGGAUUUGAAGAAAGCUAAGCAUUGGUAUCAUGAGAUAGGGAGAAGUGGUUAUAAACGGGAUAAAUUGACUUUGGAGGGCUUGAUUCCUUUUGCC